GCCAUAGAAGGUGAUAGCCCUGUAUCUGAAAGGGCCAUUUCAGUGAAGACGAGUAGGGCGGGGCACGUGAAACCCUGUCUGAACAUGGGGGGACCAUCCUCCAAGGCUAAAUACUACUGACCGACCGAUAGUGAACCAGUACCGUGAGGGAAAGGCGAAAAGAACCCCGGAGAGGGGAGUGAAAUAGAUCCUGAAACCGUGUGCGUACAAGCAGUAGGAGCCUCGCAAGGGGUGACUGCGUACCUUUUGUAUAAUGGGUCAGCGACUUACUGUUCGUGGCAAGCUUAACCGUAUAGGGGAGGCGAAGGGAAACCGAGUCUGAUAAGGGCGCAUAGUCGCGGGCAGUAGACCCGAAACCGGGUGAUCUAGUCAUGGCCAGGGUGAAGGUGCCGUAACAGGUACUGGAGGCCCGAACCCACGUCUGUUGCAAAAGACGGGGAUGAGCUGUGAUUAGGAGUGAAAAGCUAAUCGAACCCGGAGAUAGCUGGUUCUCCUCGAAAGCUAUUUAGGUAGCGCCUCAUAUGUAUCCUCUCGGGGGUAGAGCACUGUUAUGGCUAGGGGGUCAUCGCGACUUACCAAACCAUUGCAAACUCCGAAUACCGAGACGGACUGUAUGGGAGACACACGGCGGGUGCUAACGUCCGUCGUGAAAAGGGAAACAACCCAGACCCACAGCUAAGGUCCCAAAUUUUGUGCUAAGUGGAAAACCAUGUGGAAAGGCACAGACAGCCAGGAGGUUGGCUUAGAAGCAGCCACCCUUUAAAGAAAGCGUAAUAGCUCACUGGUCGAGUCGGUCUGCGGGGAAGAUUUAACGGGGCUAAGCACAGAACCGAAGCUUGGGGUGUGCAUAUUUAUAUGUACGCGGUAGAGGAGCGUUCCGUAAGCCGUUGAAGGUGGAUUGAGAAGUCUGCUGGAGGUAUCGGAAGUGCGAAUGCUGACAUGAGUAACGAUAAUGCGGGUGAAAAACCCGCACGCCGAAAGCCCAAGGUUUCCUUGCGCAACGUUAAUCGGCGCAGGGUGAGUCGGCCCCUAAGGCGAGGACGAAAGUCGUAGUCGAUGGGAAGCAGGUUAAUAUUCCUGCACCUCGCGUAAGUGCGAUGGAGGGACGGAGAAGGUUAGGCAUACCGGGCGUUGGUUGUCCCGGGGAAAGGCGGUAGGUUUGGAUCUUUGGCAAAUCCGGGAUCCUUCAAGACCGAGCACCGAGACGAGCCUUUAUGGCGAAGUUGCUGAUACCACGCUUCCAGGAAAAGCUCCUAAGCUUCAGCUUACGCAGACCGUACCGUAAACCGACACAGGUGGGUAGGAUGAGAAUUCUCAGGCGCUUGAGAGAACUCGGGUGAAGGAACUAGGCAACAUGGCACCGUAACUUCGGGAGAAGGUGCACCCUUUUUGGUGGCUCAUGCGAGCUAUAGCUGAAGAGGGUCGCAGUAACCAGGCCGCUGCGACUGUUUAUCAAAAACACAGCACUCUGCAAACACGAAAGUGGACGUAUAGGGUGUGACGCCUGCCCGGUGCUGGAAGGUUAAUUGAUGGGGUCAGCCGCAAGGCGAAGCUCUUGAUCGAAGCCCCAGUAAACGGCGGCCGUAACUAUAACGGUCCUAAGGUAGCGAAAUUCCUUGUCGGGUAAGUUCCGACCUGCACGAAUGGCGUAACGACAGCGGCGCUGUCUCCACCCGAGACUCAGUGAAAUUGAAAUCGCUGUGAAGAUGCAGCGUUCCCGUGGCAAGACGGAAAGACCCCGUGAACCUUUACUAUAGCUUUACACUGAACGUUGAGUUCGUCUGUGUAGGAUAGGUGGGAGGCUAUGAAACCAUGGCGCUAGCUGUGG
RNAcentral lists this ribosomal RNA (1828 nucleotides) under Stenotrophomonas maltophilia SeITE02. RNAcentral's name for it is "bacterial LSU rRNA". It matches the Rfam family "Bacterial large subunit ribosomal RNA", at positions 354 to 2180 of the family's 2925-position model. Lineage: Bacteria; Pseudomonadati; Pseudomonadota; Gammaproteobacteria; Lysobacterales; Lysobacteraceae. The record is from RNAcentral.